RNAcentral lists this long non-coding RNA (995 nucleotides) under Vitis vinifera (wine grape). RNAcentral's name for it is "long non-coding RNA (VVIN_LNC002166)". The record is from RNAcentral. Lineage: Eukaryota; Viridiplantae; Streptophyta; Magnoliopsida; Vitales; Vitaceae.
UGAAGUUUCAGAAGCCAUUUAGCCAAAACCUCCCCAAUUACAACAUCUCCAUGCAGACGGCUAGCAGAAAGCGAGCUCACUAGAACAGUUCUCAAGAACCUCUUUAUUUCCUAAAUUCUCUUUCAUAAGUUCCCACUUGUGGUCAGUUGCUACUAACUACAAACCAACCACAACUCGGUUCUUGGUAGCAGUAGCAUGAUUUUUCUUCUUAGGUUCAAUUCUCUGUUCUUCCAUCUGAUUAGCAUGAUUUGAGGGGCAAAUUUCAUCAGCCUUUCCAGCCUUCAUUUGAUCAACAUUUUCUGGGACUAAAUCUUUGCUUGAACCAGAAAGAAGUAGCACUCUCCUUUUCAGUUCCUUUCACAGAGCCUAAAUGUAUCAUAGAAACUGGUGGCUUUUUAUCUGUAUUCAAAUUUUCAUUAACAUUAUUCUUUUCGCCAUCCGGUUCCAAUGAUACCCUGUCUUCUCAGCCCGGAACCGAAAGAUGAAAAUGAGGCAGCAGCCAAAUCUGAAAGAUAACCAUUUAAUCUAUUGGGCCCCUCCCUCUUGGCCUCCACACGGAACUCACCUCACCUUUCUCUUGCAAUCUCCCCAAACCCAAUGGAUUUUAAACUCUGACCCCAUGGCCUCCAUGAAGAGAAAGAGGGAAACACAACUGAAGAUCCCUUUUAAUCAAACUGUAAGAGAACAUCUGUAUCUUUAGACUUGAUAUUCUGUCUUGCAUCAACUGGAUAAUAUUUACUGACAAUAUUGACUGCUACCUAGGUGUCUUAGUGGUCUUUUUUAUAACUGAAGGUCUUGCACCAAUUUUCUAGGAUUGAUGAGGUUACAUAUCGUAAAUCACUUUGACAGGACCACUUUAAACGGGGUUCACAAGCAAUGGGACAUUCUCUCCAUAGAACUUCAGCAUGCCAUCUGGUUACUUGUUCCGUUUCCACACACUCCUCGCAUGAUUGGCCCAGAUUCAUAAAAUAACCUCCAGUUAUGGAAUGUCAGCG